GACGAACGCUGGCGGCGUGCUUAACACAUGCAAGUCGAACGGAAAGGCCCUGCUUUUGUGGGGUGUUCGAUUGGCGAACGGGUGAGUAACAAUUUAGUAACCUGGCCUUGACGUUGGGAUUACUUCAGGAAACUGGGGCUAACAACCGAUAGAAUCUCCUGCUGCAUGGUGAGGGUUGGAAAGUUUCCGCGGGUGGGGAUGGACUCGCGGCUUCUCAGCUUGUUGGUGGGGUAGUGGCUUACCAAGGCUUUGACGGGUAGCCGGCCUGCGAGGGUGACCGGCCACAUUGGGACUGAGAUACGGCCCAGACUCCUACGGGAGGCAGCAGUAGGGAAUAUUGCACAAUGGGCGGAAGCCUGAUGCCGCAACGCCGCGUGCGGGAUGACGGCCUUCGGUUUGUGAACCGCUUGCGCCUGUGACGGAGCGUGAGUGACGGUAAUGGCUAAAAAAGCACCGGCUAGCUACGUG
This 468-nucleotide ribosomal RNA is filed under the name uncultured bacterium. RNAcentral's name for it is "partial 16S ribosomal RNA". It matches the Rfam family "Bacterial small subunit ribosomal RNA", at positions 28 to 507 of the family's 1533-position model. The record is from RNAcentral.